AACGAACGCUGGCGGCAGGCUUAACACAUGCAAGUCGAACGCUCGGAGCAAUCCGGGAGUGGCAGACGGGUGAGUAACACGUGGGAACGUACCCUUUGGUUCGGAAUAACUCUGGGAAACUAGAGCUAAUACCGGAUACGCCCUUUUGGGGAAAGGUUUACUGCCGAAGGAUCGGCCCGCGUCCGAUUAGCUUGUUGGUGGGGUAAUGGCCUACCAAGGCUUCGAUCGGUAGCUGGUCUGAGAGGAUGGCCAGCCACAUUGGGACUGAGACACGGCCCAAACUCCUACGGGAGGCAGCAGUGGGGAAUAUUGGACAAUGGGCGCAAGCCUGAUCCAGCCAUGCCGCGUGAGUGAUGAAGGCCUUAGGGUUGUAAAGCUCUUUUACCUGGGAAGAUCAUGACGGUACCAGGAGAAUAAGCCCCGGCUAACUUCGUGCCAGCCGCCGCCGUAACAC
Molecule: ribosomal RNA, 454 nt
Filed under: uncultured bacterium
Lineage: Bacteria
Description: bacterial SSU rRNA
Rfam family: Bacterial small subunit ribosomal RNA
Source: RNAcentral